RNAcentral lists this ribosomal RNA (461 nucleotides) under uncultured bacterium. RNAcentral's name for it is "bacterial SSU rRNA". It matches the Rfam family "Bacterial small subunit ribosomal RNA", at positions 26 to 518 of the family's 1533-position model. The record is from RNAcentral.
AGAACGAACGCUGGCGGCAGGCCUAACACGAUGCAAGUCGAACGAGAAGCCACCUUCGGGUGGUGGACAGUGGCAGACGGGUGAGUAACGCGUGGGAACGUGCCUUUCGGUUCGGGAUAACCCAGGGAAACUUGGGCUAAUACCGGAUACGCCCUCCGGGGGAAAAGAUUCGAUCGCCGAAAGAUCGGCCCGGCGUCGGAUUAGCUAGUUGGUAGGGUAAUGGCCUACCAAGGCGACGAUCCGUAGCUGGUCUGAGAGGAUGACCAGCCACACUGGGACUGAGACACGGCCCAGACUCCUACGGGAGGCAGCAGUGGGGAAUAUUGGACAAUGGGCGAAAGCCCUGAUCCAGCCAUGCCGCGUGGGUGAAGAAGGCCUUAGGGUUGUAAACCCCUUUCAGCGGGGAAGAUAAUGACGGUACCCGCAGAAGAAGUCCCGGCUAACUCCGUGCCAGCCGCUGC